GUUGCCGGCGAGGAGUGGAUCUUGGAGCUUCGAAGGGGUUAAAGCUAAGUCGGGUCUUUGGUGUCCUUCGACUCUCUGAUUUGUGCCUUAGUGCGAAUCUUCUUUUCCGAUUCUUGCUCUCUUCCUCAUUGAUGGUUGGCGAUCUCGGGUUAGGUCGUAGAUCCCUUUCUCCUUGUUGAUUGAGAGGCAGAGGAAUUCCGGGAACAUAGAAUCGAAUCGGGCGACACCUCCUGGAGACAAUCGGUUGAGUGAGGACCUGCUCUGUGGAUUUCAAAUUGAAUGCUGUGAGUUCUUGAUUCCAGCAAUUUCUUGGUCUCGGCAGCAACAAUCCUCUUGUCCCAAUAGCCACAGUAGCUGUGGAAUUGAGGACUCUGAUUCGAGACGGGCGUCUCGACCUGGGAUUGCUUGAUUGUACCUUCUAUUUGAGG
Long non-coding RNA from Zingiber officinale, 428 nucleotides. RefSeq lists it as uncharacterized. NCBI's taxonomy places the organism in Eukaryota, Viridiplantae, Streptophyta, Magnoliopsida, Zingiberales, Zingiberaceae. The transcript is spliced from 3 exons. The record is from RefSeq and is a predicted model, not a curated record.